UUAAGUUAUUAAGGGCGCACGGUGGAUGCCUUGGCACUAGAAGCCGAUGAAGGACGUUACUAACGACGAUAUGCUUUGGGGAGCUGUAAGUAAGCUUUGAUCCAGAGAUUUCCGAAUGGGGAAACCCAGCAUGAGUUAUGUCAUGUUAUCGAUAUGUGAAUACAUAGCAUAUCAGAAGGCACACCCGGAGAACUGAAACAUCUUAGUACCCGGAGGAAGAGAAAGAAAAUUCGAUUCCCUUAGUAGCGGCGAGCGAAACGGGAAGAGCCCAAACCAACAAGCUUGCUUGUUGGGGUUGUAGGACACUCUAUACGGAGUUACAAAGGACGACAUUAGACGAAUCAUCUGGAAAGAUGAAUCAAAGAAGGUAAUAAUCCUGUAGUCGAAAAUGUUGUCUCUCUUGAGUGGAUCCUGAGUACGACGGAGCACGUGAAAUUCCGUCGGAAUCUGGGAGGACCAUCUCCUAAGGCUAAAUACUCUCUAGUGACCGAUAGUGAACCAGUACCGUGAGGGAAAGGUGAAAAGCACCCCGGAAGGGGAGUGAAAUAGAACCUGAAACCGUGUGCUUACAAGUAGUCAGAGCCCGUUAAUGGGUGAUGGCGUGCCUUUUGUAGAAUGAACCGGCGAGUUACGAUUUGAUGCAAGGUUAAGCAGUAAAUGUGGAGCCGUAGCGAAAGCGAGUCUGAAUAGGGCGUUUAGUAUUUGGUCGUAGACCCGAAACCAGGUGAUCUACCCUUGGUCAGGUUGAAGUUCAGGUAACACUGAAUGGAGGACCGAACCGACUUACGUUGAAAAGUGAGCGGAUGAACUGAGGGUAGCGGAGAAAUUUCAAUCGAACCUGGAGAUAGCUGGUUCUCUCCGAAAUAGCUUUAGGGCUAGCCUCAAGUGAUGAUUAUUGGAGGUAGAGCACUGUUUGGACGAGGGGCCCCUCUCGGGUUACCGAAUUCAGACAAACUCCGAAUGCCAAUUAAUUUAACUUGGGAGUCAGAACAUGGGUGAUAAGGUCCGUGUUCGAAAGGGAAACAGCCCAGACCACCAGCUAAGGUCCCAAAAUAUAUGUUAAGUGGAAAAGGAUGUGGCGUUGCCCAGACAACUAGGAUGUUGGCUUAGAAGCAGCCAUCAUUUAAAGAGUGCGUAAUAGCUCACUAGUCGAGUGACACUGCGCCGAAAAUGUACCGGGGCUAAACAUAUUACCGAAGCUGUGGAUUGUCCUUUGGGACAAUGGUAGGAGAGCGUUCUAAGGGCGUUGAAGCAUGAUCGUAAGGACAUGUGGAGCGCUUAGAAGUGAGAAUGCCGGUGUGAGUAGCGAAAGACGGGUGAGAAUCCCGUCCACCGAUUGACUAAGGUUUCCAGAGGAAGGCUCGUCCGCUCUGGGUUAGUCGGGUCCUAAACUGAGGCCGACAGGCGUAGGCGAUGGAUAACAGGUUGAUAUUCCUGUACCACCUAUAAUCGUUUUAAUCGAUGGGGGGACGCAGUAGGAUAGGCGAAGCGUGCGAUUGGAUUGCACGUCUAAGCAGUAAGGCUGAGUAUUAGGCAAAUCCGGUACUCGUUAAGGCUGAGCUGUGAUGGGGAGAAGACAUUGUGUCUUCGAGUCGUUGAUUUCACACUGCCGAGAAAAGCCUCUAGAUAGAAAAUAGGUGCCCGUACCGCAAACCGACACAGGUAGUCAAGAUGAGAAUUCUAAGGUGAGCGAGCGAACUCUCGUUAAGGAACUCGGCAAAAUGACCCCGUAACUUCGGGAGAAGGGGUGCUCUUUAGGGUUAACGCCCAGAAGAGCCGCAGUGAAUAGGCCCAAGCGACUGUUUAUCAAAAACACAGGUCUCUGCUAAACCGUAAGGUGAUGUAUAGGGGCUGACGCCUGCCCGGUGCUGGAAGGUUAAGAGGAGUGGUUAGCUUCUGCGAAGCUACGAAUCGAAGCCCCAGUAAACGGCGGGCGGAACUAUAACGGGCCUAAGGGAGCGAAAUUCCUUGUCGGGUAAGUUCCGACCCGCACGAAAGGCGUAACGAUUUGGGCACUGUCUCAACGAGAGACUCGGUGAAAUCAUAGUACCUGUGAAGAUGCAGGUUACCCGCGACAGGACGGAAAGACCCCGUGGAGCUUUACUGUAGCCUGAUAUUGAAAUUCGGCACAGCUUGUACAGGAUAGGUAGGAGCCUUUGAAACGUGAGCGCUAGCUUACGUGGAGGCGCUGGGGGGAUACUACCCUAGCUGUGUUGGCUUUCUAACCCGCACCACUUAUCGUGGUGGGAGACAGUGUCAGGCGGGCAGUUUGACUGGGGCGGUCGCCUCCUAAAAGGUAACGGAGGCGCUCAAAGGUUCCCUCAGAAUGGUUGGAAAUCAUUCAUAGAGUGUAAAGGCAUAAGGGAGCUUGACUGCGAGACCUACAAGUCGAGCAGGGUCGAAAGACGGACUUAGUGAUCCGGUGGUUCCGCAUGGAAGGGCCAUCGCUCAACGGAUAAAAGCUACCCCGGGGAUAACAGGCUUAUCUCCCCCAAGAGUUCACAUCGACGGGGAGGUUUGGCACCUCGAUGUCGGCUCAUCGCAUCCUGGGGCUGUAGUCGGUCCCCAGGGUUGGGCUGUUCGCCCAUUAAAGCGGUACGCGAGCUGGGUUCAGAACGUCGUGAGACAGUUCGGUCCCUAUCCGUCGUGGGCGUAGGAAAUUUGAGAGGAGCUGUCCUUAGUACGAGAGGACCGGGAUGGACAUACCUCUGGUGUACCAGUUGUCGUGCCAACGGCAUAGCUGGGUAGCUAUGUGUGGACGGGAUAAGUGCUGAAAGCAUCUAAGCAUGAAGCCCCCCUCAAGAUGAGAUUUCCCAACUUCGGUUAUAAGAUCCCUCAAAGAUGAUGAGGUUAAUAGGUUCGAGGUGGAAGCAUGGUGACAUGUGGAGCUGACGAAUACUAAUCGAUCGAAGACUUAAUCAA
Molecule: ribosomal RNA, 2922 nt
Filed under: Staphylococcus aureus
Lineage: Bacteria; Bacillati; Bacillota; Bacilli; Caryophanales; Staphylococcaceae
Description: 23S ribosomal RNA
Rfam family: Bacterial large subunit ribosomal RNA
Source: RNAcentral